This 368-nucleotide long non-coding RNA is filed under the name Trifolium pratense (red clover). RNAcentral's name for it is "long non-coding RNA (TPRA_LNC012849)". Lineage: Eukaryota; Viridiplantae; Streptophyta; Magnoliopsida; Fabales; Fabaceae. The record is from RNAcentral.
GGUAGAAUGGUUUCAGAGAUUUGUACUCUGAAACCAUUUUCCUGGUAGAAUGGUUUCAGUGAGUUGAUGUAAGGUAAUGAAAAAUGAGAUUAAGGUAGUGAAAAAUUGGGUUUUUUUUUCUGUGUCCAAAUCAAACGAACCAAGUCUCUAUUUGUAGAGAAAAAAAAAUUAUGAAUUUUGGUUUAAAAAAAAAAAUAAAAAUUUAAUUUACAACGAAAUAAUUGAGUUCAAAGUAUUAAAUGGAAAAAAAUCACGCCCAGCAAUCAGACAGCGACACGUGUCCUGCUUUUAAAAAGUAGAUUCUUCUCUCUCCAGGGUGUAAUCCAGUGUGGUGCACGCGCUGGAAUCUGAUGGAUUCGGAUGAUCUG